This 407-nucleotide ribosomal RNA is filed under the name uncultured bacterium. RNAcentral's name for it is "partial 16S ribosomal RNA". It matches the Rfam family "Bacterial small subunit ribosomal RNA", at positions 355 to 755 of the family's 1533-position model. The record is from RNAcentral.
UGGGGAAUUUUGGACAAUGGGCGAAGCCUGAUCCAGCAAUGCCGCGUGUGUGAAGAAGGCCUUCGGGUUGUAAAGCACUUUUGUCCGGAAAGAAAUCCUUGGCUCUAAUACAGUCGGGGGAUGACGGUACCGGAAGAAUAAGCACCGGCUAACUACGUGCCAGCAGCCGCGGUAAUACGUAGGGUGCAAGCGUUAAUCGGAAUUACUGGGCGUAAAGCGUGCGCAGGCGGUUUGCUAAGACCGAUGUGAAAUCCCCGGGCUCAACCUGGGAACUGCAUUGGUGACUGGCAGGCUAGAGUAUGGCAGAGGGGGGUUAGAAUUCCACGUGUAGCAGUGAAAUGCGUAGAGAUGUGGAGGAAUACCGAUGGCGAAGGCAGCCCCCUGGGCAAUACUGACGCUCAUGCACG